AUAGAACGCUGGCGGCAUGCCUUACACAUGCAAGUCGAACGGCAGCACGGGUGCUUGCACCUGGUGGCGAGUGGCGAACGGGUGAGUAAUACAUCGGAACGUACCUUAUCGUGGGGGAUAACGCAGCGAAAGCUGUGCUAAUACCGCAUACGCCCUGAGGGGGAAAGCGGGGGAUCGCAAGACCUCGCGCGAUUAGAGCGGCCGAUGCCUGAUUAGCUUGUUGGUGGGGUAAAAGCCCACCAAGGCGACGAUCAGUAGCUGGUCUGAGAGGACGAUCAGCCACACUGGGACUGAGACACGGCCCAGACUCCUACGGGAGGCAGCAGUGGGGAAUUUUGGACAAUGGGGGCAACCCUGAUCCAGCAAUGCCGCGUGAGUGAAGAAGGCCUUCGGGUUGUAAAGCUCUUUUGUCAGGGGAGAAACACCGGCUCCAACACAGUCUGGGAAUGACGGUACCUGAAGAAUAAGCACCGGCUAACUACGUGCCAGCCGCCGCCGUAA
This 501-nucleotide ribosomal RNA is filed under the name uncultured bacterium. RNAcentral describes it as "partial 16S ribosomal RNA". It matches the Rfam family "Bacterial small subunit ribosomal RNA", at positions 31 to 523 of the family's 1533-position model. The record is from RNAcentral.